GCCUUGUACACACCGCCCGUCACACCAUGGGAGUGGGUUGCAAAAGAAGUAGGUAGCUUAACCUUCGGGAGGGCGCUUACCACUUUGUGAUUCAUGACUGGGGUGAAGUCGUAACAAGGUAACCGUAGGGGAACCUGCGGUUGGAUCACCUCCUUACCUGAAAGAAGC
Molecule: ribosomal RNA, 168 nt
Filed under: Salmonella enterica subsp. enterica serovar Infantis
Lineage: Bacteria; Pseudomonadati; Pseudomonadota; Gammaproteobacteria; Enterobacterales; Enterobacteriaceae
Description: partial 16S ribosomal RNA
Rfam family: Bacterial small subunit ribosomal RNA
Source: RNAcentral